GAGUUGAUCAUGGCUCAGAUUGAACGCUGGCGGCAGGCCUAACACAUGCAAGUCGAGCGGUAGAGAGAAGCUUGCUUCUCUUGAGAGCGGCGGACGGGUGAGUAAUGCCUAGGAAUCUGCCUGGUAGUGGGGGAUAACGCUCGGAAACGGACGCUAAUACCGCAUACGUCCUACGGGAGAAAGCAGGGGACCUUCGGGCCUUGCGCUAUCAGAUGAGCCUAGGUCGGAUUAGCUAGUUGGUGAGGUAAUGGCUCACCAAGGCGACGAUCCGUAACUGGUCUGAGAGGAUGAUCAGUCACACUGGAACUGAGACACGGUCCAGACUCCUACGGGAGGCAGCAGUGGGGAAUAUUGGACAAUGGGCGAAAGCCUGAUCCAGCCAUGCCGCGUGUGUGAAGAAGGUCUUCGGAUUGUAAAGCACUUUAAGUUGGGAGGAAGGGCAGUAAAUUAAUACUUUGCUGUUUUGACGUUACCGACAGAAUAAGCACCGGCUAACUCUGUGCCAG
This 506-nucleotide ribosomal RNA is filed under the name uncultured bacterium. RNAcentral describes it as "bacterial SSU rRNA". It matches the Rfam family "Bacterial small subunit ribosomal RNA", at positions 9 to 511 of the family's 1533-position model. The record is from RNAcentral.